UACUUGUCCCGUUAGUUAUACGACAGCAGCGAGGACGAGGAGCAAAGUUGAGCCGUGGCAACUAGCAAAUCCACGCACAGCAUAAUGGAAAGUGUUGGAAAGCAAAUAAUAGAGGCAAUUUGUCACUUUUGUUAUUUAGUUAAUUAAGCACAACGCCAUUAACAAGUAUGUGGGAGUGGAGAUGUCUUCAAUAUUUUUAACUGGACACUAGACAGAGGUGCGUGAUCAGUUUCACACGCCGGCCGGCUUACCCCGGAAGAAAUAUCCCUGGUUGACGUGUGUGCGAGCCAGUGUGUGUUAAAACGAAGAAGUAUGGUGAAAAAAGUGUAGACAUUUUCAUUUCUAAUUACAAUAAUGUCAAAGCGUGGUAAAGUGAACAGGAUAUGGAACUCGGAAGGAUGGGAAGGAAAGUACAGUGGACCCAGAAUUUCAUAGGAAAAUAAACCGAGAUCGCAUUGAAUUUCGAGAAUGCAUGAAUCUUCUGUAUUCCGACCUCUUGUUUAAAAAUAACAGAGAAAUCUGAAAUUCAUUCUGAGGGGCACUAUAUCUUUGACUUCUCAUCAUUGUGAGUAUCUUGACCCGACAGUGAAUAGUUGCGUGUGAAUUCAGUGGCUGGUGGUGACAAGAUAUACCUGGUGCAAGCACAGGAGCUGGCCUUCCGUGAGAAUGUCUUGCUUUGACAUGUCAGUUGACCAUCCGCAUGCAGACAUCGUGCACUACUUCCUUCUGGGUAGAGGUCAAAUAUUGGAGAAUUAGAAAACCUCUAAGGAGUUCGUGUCAUUCUCCUAUGAACUGAGUUAAAAUGAAGCAGAUCUGACUAUAUGACAUGUGAAAGCUUCAGUGAUGUCAUCUGUUGUAGAGAUUUGAGGAAAAUGGAUCUAGUACUGGUCAUGUUACAUAGCACAAGUGUGUCUUAAUGGCAGUGGAAAUAUCACCACCACAGCAUACUGUGAUUUAUGAGGAAAGUAGGGUCAAUUUCUUGUCCCUGAGGCAAUAUUUUGGAGAUGAAGGAAAUGUGGGAAGUCGCUGACUGUGGUGACCCUGUUUCUCCAUUGACAGACGUUAGCAGCAGUGAGAGUGUUGUCAUUGAAUGAACAGGCAAAUCCACUAAGAUGUGGUGAUGAAUGUUGGUGAUAAAUGGUCUACUCCUGGGUAUAUUAGGGAGACACAAGUGGUCCUACUGACAGUGGAAGUGAUACUGCGAAACCAUACCGGCAUUACGAGGCUAAUGUUGGAGAAUUGAGAACCCUGCUGGGACUUUGCAGUUGGUGGGCUCUGCGUGACCCGUUUAUGAACUGUUUUGCAAUGAGACAAAUCUGACUGUAUGAACAUGCAAAUCUUCAGUGAUGUGUUCUGUAGAGAUCUGGCGGAAAUGAUUCAACCUCUCGUUAUGUUCUAUCGCACAAGUGUGUCUUAAUGACAGUGGAAAUGUCUCCACCACAGUAUACUAUGAUUUAUGAGGUAAGUUGUAGAGCUGCAGUCCCUCUUAUAGGAGUUAAAUUUGUUGUUCUUUGCUUUCACACUUAGUUUUGAACUGUUAAAUGUUGGGUUUUAAGGAACAUGUGGUUGUUAUGCAGAUGUGUUCUUCUUUCUGGGAUACUUGCCUGCCUGCUUGCCUGUCUUAGUCUACUUGUGUCUUCCCCUUGAGCCUGCCUGAUUGCAUACCUGCCUUUUCCAUCCAUGCAACUCAGAUGACCCAGUAUGAGUGUACUCAGUGUCAGUGUGAAAGAAGAAAUACCAGGCAGUACAUAUAUUUGGUACUGAGCUACCAGAAAUUUCAGAUAAACGAGUAUAGCUCUGGAUGGCAGUGUUACAUUCGUAUCAGAAGCAGAAUGUAUACCGUCUACAAAGGCAAAACUCUGAGGUGAUGUACCUAAAUUCUGUAAGAGCAAAUCACAUUAAUGUUGAAUGUACGAGUGUGCUUGCUUUGAAUUUCCUCGUGCAACACGUCAGUUUCAAAACAUUGCAUUAGCAAAUGCAGUCUGCAUCAGUGCACAAAGUUUGUUAUAAAUUAUGGAGAUAAAAUCAGAUAAGGAAUUCUCCACAAUAUUACUCGCACACUUUCGUUUCACUGCAAUUGGAGUAUCUGAUGCAAUAACUGGAAACCCACUUUGUAUGUCUGGUUAAUGAACCCAAUAAUACUAGAAACUGUUCCUUCUGGACACUAUCCAUCAUAUCUUCAUCUAAUGACAGUUUGCCCAGGCAUUCGAGUCAUAUUAAGAUUGUUACCUCAACGAUUUGAGAGGCUUAAGUGCUGAUAUUACUGAUGAGAGGGAUUUAUGCAGUGCUCGGUUGAGAUGGCCUCAGGAAGCAUGAUAUACUUACCAAGUUUCAUGAAGGCCGGCAAAGGUGUUCAACAACUGUUAGGGGCAA
Cryptotermes secundus is the source of this 2373-nucleotide long non-coding RNA. RefSeq lists it as uncharacterized. Lineage: Eukaryota; Metazoa; Arthropoda; Insecta; Blattodea; Kalotermitidae. The transcript has 7 exons. The record is from RefSeq and is a predicted model, not a curated record.